GACGAACGCUGGCGGCGUGCUUAACACAUGCAAGUCGAGCGGUAAGGCCCUUUCGGGGGUACACGAGCGGCGAACGGGUGAGUAACACGUGGGUGACCUGCCCUCAGCUCUGGGAUAAGCCUGGGAAACCGGGGUCUAAUACCGGAUAUGACUCCAUGACGCAUGUUGUGGGGUGGAAAGCCUUGUGCGGCUGAGGAUGGGCCCGCGGCCUAUCAGCUUGUUGGUGGGGUGAUGGCCUACCAAGGCGACGACGGGUAGCCGGCCUGAGAGGGCGACCGGCCACACUGGGACUGAGACACGGCCCAGACUCCUACGGGAGGGCAGCAGUGGGGAAUCUUGCGCAAUGGGCGAAAGCCUGACGCAGCGACGCCGCGUGAGGGAUGACGGCCGUCGGUU
Molecule: ribosomal RNA, 396 nt
Filed under: uncultured bacterium
Lineage: Bacteria
Description: bacterial SSU rRNA
Rfam family: Bacterial small subunit ribosomal RNA
Source: RNAcentral